This 70-nucleotide transfer RNA is filed under the name Leiosaurus catamarcensis. Its description in RNAcentral is "tRNA-Tyr". Lineage: Eukaryota; Metazoa; Chordata; Lepidosauria; Squamata; Leiosauridae. The record is from RNAcentral.
GGCAAAAAGAGGAAUUAAACCCCUAUGAAUGGGACUACGGCCCACCACCUGAACACUCGGCCAUUUUACC